UGAUGACGAGACGCUAAGGCGUUGAAGCAGUGUAUGUCAUACUUCCAAGAAAAGCUUGCACUGUCAGAAACAGAUAAUGCCUGUACCAUAACCGACACAGGUGGGUAGGUAGAGUAUACUAAGGGGCGCGAGAUAACUCUCUCUAAGGAACUCGGCAAAAUGACUCCGUAACUUCGGGAGAAGGAGUGCCUUAUUUAUAAGGUUGCAAUAACAAGAUCCAAGCAACUGUUUAUCAAAAACACAGGUCUCCGCUAAGUCGUAAGACGAUGUAUGGGGGCUGACGCCUGCCCAGUGCCAGAAGGUUAAAGAAGUUGGUUAGUGUAUGCGAAGCUGAUGACUGAAGCCCUGGUGAACGGCGGCCGUAACUAUAACGGUCCUAAGGUAGCGAAAUUCCUUGUCGGGUAAGUUCCGACCCGCACGAAAGGCGUAAUGAUUUGGAUACUGUCUCGGAGAGAGGCUCGGUGAAAUAGACUUGUCUGUGAAGAUGCGGACUACCUGCACCAGGACAGAAAGACCCUAUGAAGCUUUACUGUAACUUGAAAUUGGAAUUGGACUUUGCUUGCGCAGUAUAGGUGGGAAGCGUUGAAAAUAUUCUUGCGGGAGUAUUGGAGCUAUCAGUGAGAUACCACUCUUGUAAUGUUAGAUUUCUAACUUUGAACCAUAAUCUGGUCAAAGAACAGUUUCAGGUGGGCAGUUUGACUGGGCGGUCGCCUCCCAAAUGGUGACGGAGGCGUACAAAGGUUUCCUCUGAACGGAUAGAAAUCGUAUCUAGAGUGUAAAGGCAUAAGGAAGCUUGACUGUGAGACCUACAAGUCGAGCAGGGACGAAAGUCGGUCUUAGUGAUCUGACGGUACUGAGUGGAAAGGCCGUCACUCAACGGAUAAAAGUUACUCUAGGAUAACAGGCUGAUCUCCCCCAAGAGUUCACAUCGACGGGGAGGUUUGGCACCUCGAUGUCGGCUCAUCGCAUCCUGGGGCGGUAGUACGUCCCAAGGGUUGGGCUGUUCGCCCAUGAAAGCGGUACGCGAGCUGGGUUCAGAACGUCGUGAGACAGUUCGGUCCAUAUCCGGUGUAGGCGCUAGAAUAUUGAGAGGAGCCUUCUUUAGUACGAGAGGACCGAGAAGGACACACCGCUGGUGUACCAGUUAUCGUGCCAACGGUAAACGCUGGGUAGCUAUGUGUGGAGUGGAUAACCGCUGAAAGCAUCUAAGUGGGAAGCCCACCUCGAGAUGAG
Molecule: ribosomal RNA, 1233 nt
Filed under: metagenome
Description: bacterial LSU rRNA
Rfam family: Bacterial large subunit ribosomal RNA
Source: RNAcentral